UGUCUGCUCCAUUGGCCCGUCUUCUCCUCCGCCUCCAUUGUUUCUCCUCGGCUGCUCUCCAUGCCCUAGGCGGCACUCCCAUUCAUGGCCGGUGACCCGUCUUCUCCUCUGCCUCCAUUGUUCCUCCUCCGCUGCUCUCCAUGCCCUAGGCGGCGCUCCCAUUCAUGGCCGACGAGCAGAAGCUUCAGCCUCCGUCGCGCCCCGAGGUACUCCGUCGCCGCGCGCCCAGCCGGCUCCCUUUUCCUCUUUGUUCUCCGCUGCAGGUCACCGGCCAUCCGUGCUGCAACCCAAUCUCUUCUCAAUCCCGCCCCUGUCAAAUCUUUAAAUCUCCUCUUAUUUCAACUUCUCAUAUCCAGGACCGUAGUGAUGAUCUCAGAUGGUUGAUGCAUCAUAUGAGGAGGUGUAGUACGCAUGAUGUUUUCAAGAAAGGAGGCCCCGGUUGGUACUUGAGGCCGUCAAGUUGAGGAAUUACGUUGGACUGGUGGCACCGCAACUUACAAUCGAAGCCCUACUCGAGUCCGUCUCCCGUUAUUCCUGCCCCACUCCACUGUCUGUAUCUUUUGCUUCAUAAUUCAUCUGUACACAAGAUUGAUGCCCAGAAGUUUCAGCCUUCCGUGCUAAAUGCCAUUCUUUUUUGACUUGAUAAACACCAGGUAACAUGGAGUCUUCUCAUUUGUAAUGGCAUAGAUAUAGGAACGAGCAAUUCAACUUUUCUUUAAGAAAGCGACACACAAAAGAGAACUAGAUAUUGUUGUUGAGAGCUAGCUCUGGCCACAUGAUCAUCUAUGUAUAUAGUUUUCAACAAAAGAGAACUGGAUUAUUGUUACUGAGGGCUAGCUCUGGCCGCAUGGUCAUCCAUGUAUAUAGUUUUCAACAAUAAAUGUGUCCUGAUUGGUACAGCAUAAUUUGCAAUCUUAGUUUCUUCUGAUCUCAUAAUUUGAAGAUGAACUGGAGAGGGGAAUGUGUACUAUGUUUGGAAUCCGUCACACUAAAUGUGUAUUUGUGGUAUUGAUGUACAGUUAUUAAGAAAGUUACAUUUUCCAGCUAUUGUUCUACUGAGAGGAUGCAUGGCUGAAAAUUGCUCUAGCUGGAAGUUUAUGUCUUUGUGAAUGAAGACUAGAGGCGCUGACUUGUAGCCACUCGAACACUGCCAUUGGGGAAAAUCUAUAUUGCUUAUUGAUCCAGUCUAGCUAUUGCUAGAAUACCAAUUUUCGUACACUGCAUAAUACCCAUUACUAAUUGAAUGUUGAUUCUGACAACCUUAAUACAUCCACGAUGGUGGAGGCACUUCAAAAAAGGUAAGCUGGAGAAAUAUAACAGAAUCACACGACGAUCCCCUUAGCUAAUAUCAUAUGGGUUCGAUCGAGGUUGUCCGUCAACAGUGCAUUGGUAAAAGUAAGCUGAAGGACUCGGACAGAUUAAUGAACUGCGCAUGUUGAGUUUGAAAAAAAAGUGUACAUAUAUGUUUUCUAUUACAGAUCAUCUGACUAUGUUUUGUAUUAAGAUUAAAUCAAAAUGCUACAGCAAGAUACAUUUAGUUACUAUAGUUUUAUUUUAUUUUACUAGCACUCUCUUCUCCGUAAAAAAUAAUAAUUGUGGAACGCAUUGAUAAGCUAUCAAAAAGAGAUGAUACAUUUCCUUAUCAUUUUGCUCGAUUGCUCGAUGUUCAUUAUAUAACAAAAAGUUCCAAAAAAUAUGUUUCUAAAAUGCAGAAUGAAGUAUUGGUUAGUAAUUAAUUUCAGAACACAAAUAAGCAUGGAAAUUAAGAAGCGCCCGGUUUUCUUGCCCUCACCUACUAAUAUAAUAUUUGUUCCCGUAUGCAUAUGUAUCUCACUUUUCCAAUUAUAUGACAUGGUCGUCUGAAUUUUAAUGCACCCUUGAAGUUGUGCUUCGUAACUAAAUGUUUAAAUUUCAGUACAACUAGGGUUUUCUUGGUGUGGUUGCAUUCAUGCAAACAAAAAAAUUCAUUGUGUGCAGGUAAUAUCCUUCAAAUAUCACUUACAAUAUAUGUUUUCAGUCUGUUUUGCUUCAAGUGAAGUACCUGUUUUCUCUCACUCUUUCAUGGUACAACAAUUAGCAACAUCAACUACACAAUAAAUAGAGCAGGUAAAAAACAACAAAUAGAGGAUGAAAUCAUGCAAAUAAAUAAGUAUCAUUAUAUCCAUACAUGGAUAAAUGUCUUUUCAUUAACUGUGCUUGGCCUCUAAAUUGACAUGUGUGUGUGUGUGUGAGGCUUGGUAUUAAUUGAAACAAGUAGCAAUCUAGUGCCAAUUGUGUACAUGUGUGUUUGUUUUGAAACGUUACUUGCAUUUUCUUAAAACAUCAUUCUGAUGAUUGUCAAUACUGUUGGACUAGCAUGCGAAGUUGUCAAAUGAAUUCCUACAAAAUGGUGUGUGGUUGGCUUUUUGAGAACAUUAGUAAAUGAAUUGGGCCUUCCACGUGUAGGUUAAAUAUCACCUGGUAAGUAUGAAAAUCGGUGAAUGAUUCAUCCAUUAGUAUAAUACACUUGGUUAUUGAUUCAAAUACAAAUUUCCCGACCGUAGUUCUUUCAUAAGAAACUUUCUAUCAAUUUCGGCUUGAAAGAUAUUUUAUUCAAGAACGACAGUUUCAUGAUGCUUGCCCGUGCAACUGCAUGGGUUGACGACUAGUGAGAUUAAUGAACGAAGUUUUACGUGCUUUCAUUGGACGAUUUAUGGUAGUUUACUUUGAUGACAUAUUGAUUUAUAGCAAAU
Triticum dicoccoides is the source of this 2732-nucleotide long non-coding RNA. RefSeq lists it as uncharacterized. The transcript is spliced from 3 exons. The record is from RefSeq and is a predicted model, not a curated record. NCBI's taxonomy places the organism in Eukaryota, Viridiplantae, Streptophyta, Magnoliopsida, Poales, Poaceae.